AAGCCAAUGGGUGUGGAAAUAUACAUAGAAAUGUUGAUCUUGUUAUAGAUAGUAUAAAAAAUUUUCUAUCAAAAUUUUAUCUGAUUUGAAUACUUAUACACCGUUAAACUUGCAAAUGGCAUAUAUCAAUCAUUAAAAAUUAUUGAUUUUGAAUCCUUUCGAUCACUAGGUAAAUGAUAUAAAAAAACCGCAAAAAUUAUUUUCUAGAUAGUUCAAAUACGCUAAAUUAAGUCUAACGAAAUCGAUCAUAGAUUCGAAAGUCCCAUCAUCGAAAUCGACUUAGGAGCACAGAGGCCUCCGUGCUACUAAUAGCACACAAGACCUACUCUAUAUAUA
Molecule: long non-coding RNA, 336 nt
Filed under: Ananas comosus (pineapple)
Lineage: Eukaryota; Viridiplantae; Streptophyta; Magnoliopsida; Poales; Bromeliaceae
Description: long non-coding RNA (ACOM_LNC004315)
Source: RNAcentral